Molecule: long non-coding RNA, 1385 nt
Organism: Panicum virgatum (switchgrass)
Lineage: Eukaryota; Viridiplantae; Streptophyta; Magnoliopsida; Poales; Poaceae
Exons: 5
Source: RefSeq, a predicted model, not a curated record
AUCCUCCCGCACCAUACACAAAACCUUCCCUGGACCCUGCGCCCCCGUUCCCAUCCAGCCGCCAGCUCCCAACCAGCCGCCGCCACCCCCAUCCACCCACCGCCCCCAUCCUGCCCCCGGCUCCAUCUCCCCGCCAUCCAGCCGCCAGCCCCGUGCAGCUGCCGCACCGGCCACCAGUCCCCGGCUCCGUCUCCAUCGAUGGCUUCCUGACCCGGCCACCGUCAAUCUCCGCGCGGACGUGAAGACCCGGCCGGUUACCGCCGGUUCUCAUGCAAGCAUGAAGCUCUGGCCACCUCGACCCCUCCAUAACUAUGCCGCCUUGCUCGUGGACCUUCACCCACCUAUCGGGCUGCUAGUGCAUCCUGGCGUCGUCGAGCCCAUCGCUGAGCCUGCUUGUCGUCGUCACUUCAGAGGGGCCAUCAAUCUUGGUUGCUGGUGUCAAUUUCGGAGAUGAGAGGACCAAAACCUGAAGGACUAACAUUCGCAUCUUCGUUGAACAGUGAUUGGUGUCUUUGCUCAUAUAUUUCAAUAUUUCGGAUCAACUUCUGUCAAAGUGCCAACUUGUUAUAGAUCAAGGAUGAUAUGAAGUCUUCAAGGCAGUCAAAAGGUCCAAGUUCUGGAAUGAUUGCAAGCUUGGUAGUCCAAACUGUAUUGACAUCUCCACUUGUGUUUUAGAUUAUUUACCUUUCUUAAAUGUAAAUUCAUUUCAGGUUCUUAAGUCUUAGAUGUUCUAAGUCUCGUGGAUUUAAAUAUUUUGUGCAGAAGUGCCCAUGCAACCACAGGUGCAUAGGCAACUAACUGGAGUAGUAAGCUUUUGGCAGCUAGGCAUGUUACAAGUUUCUGAAGUGGCCUUUUGUGCAACAAGAAAAUGUUUGAGUGUAUGACUGUAUGGUUAGAACUAGUUACUAGUAGAGAGAAGCAUCUCUCUCGGUGGGUCUAUAUAUAUAUAUAUAUAUAUAUAUAUAUAUAUAUAUAUAUAUAUAUAUAUAUAUAUAUAUAUAUAUAUAUAUAUAAACUGUCGAAAAGAUGUAAACUCGGCGUAGGUCCCCUGUUUUCCCACAGUUCAACUGUGGGCAAAUGGUUUAACUGUCGGCAAAGACUAAGCCGCCGACAACUUAUGCCACUACAGUUAGCUAUCUGUCGGCAAAACUUUUGGCCACAAUUUUUAUGUCUGCACAAGUACCUUCUGCCGACAUUUCUAUGUGUUGGCAUAAGUGUACUAUGAUGUAGUGAUGCUCCCAGAUCGUGCUUUUUAGAAUAGAGCUCCGUCUAGAACACGGAGGUUUUCAGAAAUGUUUGUAAUAAAUCCGUCAGUUUUCACGGGAAUACAGGGAACAAACAUUAUUAGCAUCGAAUGAUAUCAUGUUCGUACGGUUGAAGGGUCA